GAUGAAGAACGUAGCGAAAUGCGAUACGUAAUGUGAAUUGCAAAUUCAGUGAAUCAUCGAGUCUUUGAACGCAUAUUGCGCCCCCUGGUAUUCCGGGGGGCAUGCCUGUCCGAGCGUCAUUGCUGCCCUCAAGCACGGCUUGUGUGUUGGGCCCCGUCCUCCGAUCCCGGGGGACGGGCCCGAAAGGCAGCGGCGGCACCGCGUCCGGUCCUCGAGCGUAUGGGGCUUUGUCACCCGCUCUGUAGGCCCGGCCGGCGCUUGCCGAUCAACCCAAAUUUUUUAUCCAGGUUGACCUCGGAUCAGGUAGGGAUACCCGCUGAACUUAAGCAUAUCAAUAAGCGGAGG
Molecule: unclassified non-coding RNA, 345 nt
Filed under: soil metagenome
Description: partial contains 5.8S ribosomal RNA, internal transcribed spacer 2, and large subunit ribosomal RNA
Rfam family: 5.8S ribosomal RNA (bases 1-119)
Source: RNAcentral